Molecule: ribosomal RNA, 1220 nt
Filed under: uncultured Rhizaria
Lineage: Eukaryota
Description: SSU rRNA
Rfam family: Eukaryotic small subunit ribosomal RNA
Source: RNAcentral
CGGUAAUUCCAGCUCCAAUAGCGUAUAUUAAAGUUGUUGCAGUUAAAAAGCUCGGAGUUGGAUUUCUGCGGGGACGGAGCGGCCGGACGCGACUUGCGUCUCGAGCUAGCGCUUUCCCCGCAUCCUGCCGCGAACCGUGCUACCAUUAGUUUGGUGGCGCUGGGGAUCGGCUCGAUUACUUUGAUAAAAAUAGAGUGUUCUAAGUCGGCCACUCGCCCUGAAUAGGUUAGCAUGGAAUAAUGACUAAGGACUUUGGCUCUUUUCGUUGGUGUUCGGCACUGAACUAAUGAUUGAUAGGGACAGUUGGCGCGGUCCGCAUUCCGAAGCGAGAAGCGAAAUUCUUAGACCUUCAGAAGACGAACAGCUGCGAUAGCGUGCCGUAUGGAUGUUCCCGUUGAUCCAGAACGAAUGGUGGCGAAUCGAAGACGAUCGGAUUCCGUCGUAGUCUCAACUAUAAACUAUACCAGCUAGGGAUCGGACAACGUUUAAUUAUUCGACUUGGUCGGCACCUUAUGAGAAAUCAAAGCAUCUGGGUUCCGGGGCGAGUAUGGUCGCAAGGCUGAAUCUUAAAGGAAUUGACGGAAGGGCACCGCCACCCGCGGAGCCUCUGGCUUAAUUUGACUCAACACGGGAAAACUUACCAGGUCCAGACAUAGUAAGGAUUGCCAGAUUGAUAGCUCUCUCUUGAUUCUGUAAAUAAUAGUGCAUGGCCGUUAUUAGUUGGUGGAGUGACUUGUCUGAUUAACUACGUUAACGAACAAGACCCCAGCCUGCUAAAUAGCGCGGCUGAGCUUUGCUCGAUGCGAGCUUCUUAGAAAAAAUAUGAUGCGCGAUAGCCCAUGAAAGUUUGGAACAAUAACAGGUCUGUGAUGUCCUUAGAUGUUCUGGCCCGCACACGGGCUACACUGGCCCCCGCAACGAGCAUAUCAACUGAUCCGAAAAGGUCUUGGCUAAUCUUUUGAACCGGCGCCGUUCUUGGGAUCGACCAUUGCAAUUCUUGGUCAUACGAACGAGGUAAUGCCUUGUAAACUGCGAGUCAUCAGCUCGCAUUGAAUACGUCCCUCCCCUUUGUACACGCCAGCCCAUCGCUCCUCCCGAUGAAUGUUCCGAUGAAAUUUUCGGAAAACGCCAGAGAACAAAACUCCGCCUUGCAGAUCUGGAGGCUCAAAGUCACUUAAAUCUGAACAUUUCGAAGAAGGAGAAGUCGUAACAAGGUAACC